CCCCUAGUAGCGGCGAGCGAACCGGGAAGAGCUCAAAUUUAAAAUCUGGCGUCUUUCAGGCGUCCGAGUUGUAAUCUACAGAAGUGUUUUCCGUGCCGGACCGUGUCCAAGUCCCUUGGAAUAGGGUAUCAAAGAGGGUGAUAAUCCCGUACUUGACACGACAACCGGUGCUCUGUGAUACAUUUUCUACGAGUCGAGUUGUUUGGGAAUGCAGCUCAAAAUGGGUGGUAAAUUCCAUCUAAAGCUAAAUAUAGGCGAGAGACCGAUAGCGAACAAGUACCGUGAGGGAAAGAUGAAAAGCACUUUGGAAAGAGAGUUAAACAGUACGUGAAAUUGUUAAAAGGGAAACGAUUGAAGUCAGUCAUGUCUAUUGGUUUCAG
Molecule: ribosomal RNA, 380 nt
Filed under: Bullera sp. CC-94014
Lineage: Eukaryota; Fungi; Basidiomycota; Tremellomycetes; Tremellales; Bulleraceae
Description: eukaryotic LSU rRNA
Rfam family: Eukaryotic large subunit ribosomal RNA
Source: RNAcentral